UUAAGCGACUAAGCGUACACGGUGGAUGCCCUGGCAGUCAGAGGCGAUGAAGGACGUGCUAAUCUGCGAAAAGCGUCGGUAAGGUGAUAUGAACCGUUAUAGCCGGCGAUGUCCGAAUGGGGAAACCCAGUGCAAUUCGUUGCACUAUCGUUAACUGAAUACAUAGGUUAACGAGGCGAACCGGGGGAACUGAAACAUCUAAGUACCCCGAGGAAAAGAAAUCAACCGAGAUUCCCCCAGUAGCGGCGAGCGAACGGGGAGCAGCCCAGAGUCUGAAUCAGCUUGUGUGUUAGUGGAACGGUCUGGAAAGUCCGACGGUACAGGGUGAUAGUCCCGUACACCAAAAUGCACAGGCUGUGAACUCGAAGAGUAGGGCGGGACACGUGGUAUCCUGUCUGAAUAUGGGGGGACCAUCCUCCAAGGCUAAAUACUCCUGACUGACCGAUAGUGAACCAGUACCGUGAGGGAAAGGCGAAAAGAACCCCGGCGAGGGGAGUGAAAAAGAACCUGAAACCGUGUACGUACAAGCAGUGGGAGCACCUUCGGGUGUGACUGCGUACCUUUUGUAUAAUGGGUCAGCGACUUAUAUUCUGUAGCAAGGUUAACCGUAUAGGGGAGCCGCAGGGAAACCGAGUCUUAACUGGGCGUUAAGUUGCAGGGUAUAGACCCGAAACCCGGUGAUCUAGCCAUGGGCAGGUUGAAGGUUGGGUAACACUAACUGGAGGACCGAACCGACUAAUGUUGAAAAAUUAGCGGAUGACUUGUGGCUGGGGGUGAAAGGCCAAUCAAACCGGGAGAUAGCUGGUUCUCCCCGAAAGCUAUUUAGGUAGCGCCUCGUGAAUUCAUCUUCGGGGGUAGAGCACUGUUUCGGCUAGGGGGUCAUCCCGACUUACCAACCCGAUGCAAACUACGAAUACCGAAGAAUGUUAUCACGGGAGACACACGGCGGGUGCUAACGUCCGUCGUGAAGAGGGAAACAACCCAGACCGCCAGCUAAGGUCCCAAAGUCAUGGUUAAGUGGGAAACGAUGUGGGAAGGCACAGACAGCCAGGAUGUUGGCUUAGAAGCAGCCAUCAUUUAAAGAAAGCGUAAUAGCUCACUGGUCGAGUCGGCCUGCGCGGAAGAUGUAACGGGGCUAAACCAUGCACCGAAGCUGCGGCAGCGACACUAUGUGUUGUUGGGUAGGGGAGCGUUCUGUAAGCCUGCGAAGGUGUGCUGUGAGGCAUGCUGGAGGUAUCAGAAGUGCGAAUGCUGACAUAAGUAACGAUAAAGCGGGUGAAAAGCCCGCUCGCCGGAAGACCAAGGGUUCCUGUCCAACGUUAAUCGGGGCAGGGUGAGUCGACCCCUAAGGCGAGGCCGAAAGGCGUAGUCGAUGGGAAACAGGUUAAUAUUCCUGUACUUGGUGUUACUGCGAAGGGGGGACGGAGAAGGCUAUGUUAGCCGGGCGACGGUUGUCCCGGUUUAAGCAUGUAGGCUGGUUGUCCAGGCAAAUCCGGAUAAUCAAGGCUGAGGUGUGAUGACGAGGCACUACGGUGCUGAAGUAACAAAUGCCCUGCUUCCAGGAAAAGCCUCUAAGCAUCAGGUAACAUCAAAUCGUACCCCAAACCGACACAGGUGGUCAGGUAGAGAAUACCAAGGCGCUUGAGAGAACUCGGGUGAAGGAACUAGGCAAAAUGGUGCCGUAACUUCGGGAGAAGGCACGCUGGUGUGUAGGUGAAGCCCCUGCGGGUGGAGCUGAGACCAGUCGAAGAUACCAGCUGGCUGCAACUGUUUAUUAAAAACACAGCACUGUGCAAACACGAAAGUGGACGUAUACGGUGUGACGCCUGCCCGGUGCCGGAAGGUUAAUUGAUGGGGUUAUCCGUAAGGAGAAGCUCUUGAUCGAAGCCCCGGUAAACGGCGGCCGUAACUAUAACGGUCCUAAGGUAGCGAAAUUCCUUGUCGGGUAAGUUCCGACCUGCACGAAUGGCGUAAUGAUGGCCAGGCUGUCUCCACCCGAGACUCAGUGAAAUUGAACUCGCUGUGAAGAUGCAGUGUACCCGCGGCAAGACGGAAAGACCCCGUGAACCUUUACUAUAGCUUGACACUGAACAUUGAGCCUUGAUGUGUAGGAUAGGUGGGAGGCUUUGAAGCGUGGACGCCAGUCUGCGUGGAGCCAACCUUGAAAUACCACCCUUUAAUGUUUGAUGUUCUAACGUUGGCCCCUGACCGGGGUUGCGGACAGUGUCUGGUGGGUAGUUUGACUGGGGCGGUCUCCUCCCAAAGCGUAACGGAGGAGCACGAAGGUUAGCUAAUCCUGGUCGGACAUCAGGAGGUUAGUGCAAUGGCAUAAGCUAGCUUGACUGCGAGCGUGACGGCGCGAGCAGGUGCGAAAGCAGGUCAUAGUGAUCCGGUGGUUCUGAAUGGAAGGGCCAUCGCUCAACGGAUAAAAGGUACUCCGGGGAUAACAGGCUGAUACCGCCCAAGAGUUCAUAUCGACGGCGGUGUUUGGCACCUCGAUGUCGGCUCAUCACAUCCUGGGGCUGAAGUAGGUCCCAAGGGUAUGGCUGUUCGCCAUUUAAAGUGGUACGCGAGCUGGGUUUAGAACGUCGUGAGACAGUUCGGUCCCUAUCUGCCGUGGGCGCUGGAGAAUUGAGGGGGGCUGCUCCUAGUACGAGAGGACCGGAGUGGACGCAUCACUGGUGUUCGGGUUGUCAUGCCAAUGGCACUGCCCGGUAGCUAAAUGCGGAAGAGAUAAGUGCUGAAAGCAUCUAAGCACGAAACUUGCCCCGAGAUGAGUUCUCCCUGAGACUUUAAGUCUCCUGAAGGAACGUUAAAGACGAUGACGUUGAUAGGCCGGGUGUGUAAGCGCAGCGAUGCGUUGAGCUAACCGGUACUAAUGAACCGUGAGGCUUAACCUU
Molecule: ribosomal RNA, 2900 nt
Filed under: Klebsiella pneumoniae
Lineage: Bacteria; Pseudomonadati; Pseudomonadota; Gammaproteobacteria; Enterobacterales; Enterobacteriaceae
Description: bacterial LSU rRNA
Rfam family: Bacterial large subunit ribosomal RNA
Source: RNAcentral